RNAcentral lists this ribosomal RNA (492 nucleotides) under uncultured bacterium. RNAcentral describes it as "partial 16S ribosomal RNA". It matches the Rfam family "Bacterial small subunit ribosomal RNA", at positions 29 to 507 of the family's 1533-position model. The record is from RNAcentral.
AGUGAACGCUGGCGGCAGGCUUAACACAUGCAAGUCGAACGGCAGCACAGUAAUUGCUUGCUCUUACGGGUGGCGAGUGGUGGACGGGUGAGGAAUACAGUGGCACCUACUUUUUCGUGGGGGAUCACGUAGGGAAACUUACGCUAAUACUGCAUAUGACCUAUGGGCGAACGCAGGUGCUUUUCGGACUUUGCGCGACUGAAUGAGCCGAUGUCGGAUCAGCUAUUUGGCGGGGUAAUGGCACACUAAGGCCGUGAUACGUAGCCGGUCUGAGAGGAUGAUCAGCCACACUGGAACUGAGACACGGUCCAGACUCCUACGGGAGGCAGCGGUGGAGAAUAUUGGACGAUGGGGGAAAGCCUGAUACAGCCAUACCGCGUGAGUGAAGAAGGCCUUCGGGUGGGAAAACCCUGUUGUUGGGAGGGAAAAGCAGCAGGUUAAGACCGCGCUGUUCUGACGGUACCCAACGAAGAAGCACCGGCUAACUUCGUG